This 395-nucleotide unclassified non-coding RNA is filed under the name soil metagenome. RNAcentral's name for it is "partial contains 5.8S ribosomal RNA, internal transcribed spacer 2, and large subunit ribosomal RNA". The stretch from base 1 to 122 matches the Rfam family "5.8S ribosomal RNA", at positions 35 to 154 of the family's 154-position model. The record is from RNAcentral.
GAUGAAGAACGCAGCGAAAUGCGAUACUUGGUGUGAAUUGCAGAAUCCCGUGAACCAUCGAGUCUUUGAACGCAAGUUGCGCCCGAAGCCAUCAGGUUGAGGGCACGUCUGCCUGGACGUCACAUAUCGUUGCCCAAUGCCUAUUGCAGUGCAAUAGGAAUUUCUAGGGCGAAUGAUGGCUUCCCGUGAGCGUUGUUGCCUCGCGGUUGGUUGAAAAUCGAGUCCUUGGUAGGGUGUGCCAUGGUAGAUGGUGGUCGAGUUAGAACGAUACCGAUCAUGUGCAUGCUCCCCAAAAUAUGGCCUCUAUGACCCACACGCGUCUUUUGACGCUCAUGACGAGACCUCAGGUCAGGCGGGGCUACCCGCUGAAUUUAAGCAUAUCAAUAAGCGGAGGA